Molecule: ribosomal RNA, 253 nt
Filed under: uncultured bacterium
Lineage: Bacteria
Description: partial 16S ribosomal RNA
Rfam family: Bacterial small subunit ribosomal RNA
Source: RNAcentral
GACGAACCGUCCUAACGUUGUUCGGAAUCACUGGGCUUAAAGGGCGCGUAGGCGGGCGACCAAGUCCGGGGUGAAAUCUUUCGGCUUAACCGGAAAAUAGCCUUGGAUACUGGUUGUCUCGAGGGAGGUAGGGGCCGUUGGAACUUCCGGUGGAGCGGUGAAAUGCGUUGAUAUCGGAAGGAACGCCGGUGGCGAAAGCGAACGGCUGGACCUCUUCUGACGCUGAGACGCGAAAGCUAGGGGAGCAAACGGG